GAUAGUUUAUCAACAUCCUUUUUUUCUGUAUUGUGACAUGUUUUGAGCCUCCUUCAUUCCCUCCAGGUAAAACACACCCUAUAAAUUAUCAUCAUUCAUUGAUGCUGUGCUAUUACAGACUUGAAGUGUCCAUUUGUCUGAUUGAGUCAAACACUCCCUGUAGUUUACCACUAUCCAGUGUUCCAGUACUGGGGCAUGCCUCAUGUACUUCGUUAUCCUCUCCAGGUCUCACGAAUUCCGCU
This 242-nucleotide small RNA is filed under the name Bos taurus (domestic cattle). The record is from RNAcentral. Lineage: Eukaryota; Metazoa; Chordata; Mammalia; Artiodactyla; Bovidae.